This 1516-nucleotide ribosomal RNA is filed under the name Clostridium botulinum F str. Langeland. Its description in RNAcentral is "16S ribosomal RNA". It matches the Rfam family "Bacterial small subunit ribosomal RNA". The record is from RNAcentral. Lineage: Bacteria; Bacillati; Bacillota; Clostridia; Eubacteriales; Clostridiaceae.
UUUAAAUUUAGAGUUUGAUCCUGGCUCAGGACGAACGCUGGCGGCGUGCUUAACACAUGCAAGUCGAGCGAUGAAGCUUCCUUCGGGAAGUGGAUUAGCGGCGGACGGGUGAGUAACACGUGGGUAACCUGCCUCAAAGUGGGGGAUAGCCUUCCGAAAGGAAGAUUAAUACCGCAUAAUAUAAGAGAAUCGCAUGAUUUUCUUAUCAAAGAUUUAUUGCUUUGAGAUGGACCCGCGGCGCAUUAGCUAGUUGGUAAGGUAACGGCUUACCAAGGCAACGAUGCGUAGCCGACCUGAGAGGGUGAUCGGCCACAUUGGAACUGAGACACGGUCCAGACUCCUACGGGAGGCAGCAGUGGGGAAUAUUGCGCAAUGGGGGAAACCCUGACGCAGCAACGCCGCGUGGGUGAUGAAGGUCUUCGGAUUGUAAAGCCCUGUUUUCUAGGACGAUAAUGACGGUACUAGAGGAGGAAGCCACGGCUAACUACGUGCCAGCAGCCGCGGUAAUACGUAGGUGGCGAGCGUUGUCCGGAUUUACUGGGCGUAAAGGGUGCGUAGGCGGAUGUUUAAGUGGGAUGUGAAAUCCCCGGGCUUAACCUGGGGGCUGCAUUCCAAACUGGAUAUCUAGAGUGCAGGAGAGGAAAGCGGAAUUCCUAGUGUAGCGGUGAAAUGCGUAGAGAUUAGGAAGAACACCAGUGGCGAAGGCGGCUUUCUGGACUGUAACUGACGCUGAGGCACGAAAGCGUGGGUAGCAAACAGGAUUAGAUACCCUGGUAGUCCACGCCGUAAACGAUGGAUACUAGGUGUAGGGGGUAUCAACUCCCCCUGUGCCGCAGUUAACACAAUAAGUAUCCCGCCUGGGGAGUACGGUCGCAAGAUUAAAACUCAAAGGAAUUGACGGGGGCCCGCACAAGCAGCGGAGCAUGUGGUUUAAUUCGAAGCAACGCGAAGAACCUUACCUGGACUUGACAUCCCUUGCAUAGCCUAGAGAUAGGUGAAGCCCUUCGGGGCAAGGAGACAGGUGGUGCAUGGUUGUCGUCAGCUCGUGUCGUGAGAUGUUAGGUUAAGUCCUGCAACGAGCGCAACCCUUGUUAUUAGUUGCUACCAUUAAGUUGAGCACUCUAAUGAGACUGCCUGGGUAACCAGGAGGAAGGUGGGGAUGACGUCAAAUCAUCAUGCCCCUUAUGUCCAGGGCUACACACGUGCUACAAUGGUAGGUACAAUAAGACGCAAGACCGUGAGGUGGAGCAAAACUUAUAAAACCUAUCUCAGUUCGGAUUGUAGGCUGCAACUCGCCUACAUGAAGCUGGAGUUGCUAGUAAUCGCGAAUCAGAAUGUCGCGGUGAAUACGUUCCCGGGCCUUGUACACACCGCCCGUCACACCAUGAGAGCUGGUAACACCCGAAGUCCGUGAGGUAACCGUAAGGAGCCAGCGGCCGAAGGUGGGAUUAGUGAUUGGGGUGAAGUCGUAACAAGGUAGCCGUAGGAGAACCUGCGGCUGGAUCACCUCCUUUCU